This 253-nucleotide ribosomal RNA is filed under the name Agathobaculum desmolans. Its description in RNAcentral is "partial 16S ribosomal RNA". It matches the Rfam family "Bacterial small subunit ribosomal RNA", at positions 524 to 776 of the family's 1533-position model. The record is from RNAcentral. Lineage: Bacteria; Bacillati; Bacillota; Clostridia; Eubacteriales; Butyricicoccaceae.
UACGUAGGGAGCAAGCGUUAUCCGGAUUUACUGGGUGUAAAGGGCGCGCAGGCGGGCCGGCAAGUUGGAAGUGAAAUCCGGGGGCUUAACCCCCGAACUGCUUUCAAAACUGCUGGUCUUGAGUGAUGGAGAGGCAGGCGGAAUUCCGUGUGUAGCGGUGAAAUGCGUAGAUAUACGGAGGAACACCAGUGGCGAAGGCGGACUGCUGGACAUUAACUGACGCUGAGGCGCGAAAGCGUGGGGAGCAAACAGG